This 2011-nucleotide long non-coding RNA is filed under the name Cinara cedri. Lineage: Eukaryota; Metazoa; Arthropoda; Insecta; Hemiptera; Aphididae. The record is from RNAcentral.
GUGGAUUUAGAUAAAAUUAUUUUUUUUUUUUUUUUGACUAACUGAUGAUAAUUGUCUUUAAAGGUUUAAGUAGGUCACGUGGCCAUUUACGUUUGAGGCGGCGGAUAGGGUUAUCUGGGAGUGAGAGAGAUGAGAGACUUAGGAUGAUUAAUGGUAUUUUUAUGAAAUUUUUUGUAGUGGUUUGACGCUAUUUCAGAGAUAGUUGGAAUUUUUAGAUCCUUAUGUAGAGUACGAUUGCUGACAUACCAGGGAGAUUUGGUUAAGAGUCGGAGGUUAAUGGAUUGAAAGGCUUGGAAUUUAUUUAAGUUAGAGUUCUUAGAGGUUCCCCAAAUUUGUAUGCCAAAGGUCAUUGCAGGUCGAAUGAUUUGUUUGUAUAUGAGAAGUUUAUUGUUAAGAGAGAGGUUAGAAUGCAGGAGCUGUCUGAAUUUAUGGAAUUUUAGAUUGGGGAAGAUCUUUUGUUUUUUAUGUGGGCUGCCCAAGUUAGUCUUUUGUCAAGAUGAAGACCAUGGUAUUUUUUUUACGGAGUUUUGUGUUUGAAUUGUUUUGUUGUUUAGUAUUAAUGGUUGACUGUUUUUAAAACCAAGAGUAAAUGUAAUGAACAUUGAUUUAUUUUCGUUGAUUUUUAUUCUCCAUUUAUGGAAUCAGUGUUCUAGAAUUACUAGGUGUUCUUAGAGGUGGUUUGUAGCAGUUUGAAGACAUUUGUUGGAUGUCAGAAUAGCAGUAUCGUCGGCAAAGGUAGCUAGAGUAGUCUUAUUUGAGUGUGGUAUGUCAGAGGUGAAAAGAUUAUAUAACAGGAGCGAGAAUACUGCCCUGGGGAACCCCAGCAUUUAUAGGGUGAGUUGUCAAAAGUUCAUCUUCACAGCGAACCUGGAAUGAUCUGUUUAAGAGAAAGGAUUUUAUGGUAAGAUAAAGAGGUGCGGGAAGAAAAAUAAUUUUGUAUAACAAGCCCUUAUGCCAGACCCGAUCAAAGGCUUCAGCCAAAUCUAGGAAUGGUGUGUUGCAGUAAUGUUUGUUUUCUAAGGUAGAUGCGAUAUUAUCAACGAUUCGGUGUACUUGAUGCAGGGCAGAAUGGUUGUUUCCAAAACCAAAUUGAGUAUUGGGAAUUAUUUUUUUUCCGUUAUAAUUUGAUUGAUUCUUUUAAGGAGAAUUUUUUCAAGGUUUUUUACUAGGGAGGGAAGCAGACUAAUUGGACGGUAUGAGGAAGGAAGAUCGGGGGGUUUACCUGUAUAAUACAGUUGAAGUUUUAACUUCUAUUUUAGUUGGAUUUUGUUUGGAUCAUUUUGUUAUUUAAGCGAAACAGUGUGAUUUUUGUUUUUAAAGGAUUGGAUUUCAAUCUUCAAUUCUUAAAAUAGCAAUUUAGGAUAAUUAAAUUUUCCAUCAAUUAGCUCACACGAGUCAAAAGAAUAUCCUUGGUUCAUCAACGCUAGGUCAUUGAUAAAAAUAAAUUAUCUAGCUUUUGUUUCCAGAAUAUCAAAAGUAUAUUAGUUAAAUAAGAGUGAUGUAAAACAGAUCCCUAUGGUUAACUAUUAUUAAGUAUUAUUUGCUCUUAUUUUCUCCAAUUAUUACUGUAAAUUGACUAUUAGAUAGCAUGUUAUUUAUAAUUCUUUAAUGUAUUAUAAUCUUAAAAUUAUUAUGUAUAUUGUACUUUUAAACAAAGGCUACACCCGUAAAUUGUAUAUUGAUAUAAAUAUUGUAUAUUAAUUGUUCUACAAGAAAUUAUAUGUAAAAGCUUAUUGAUCAAUCCCAAACGCCAUAGUGUCCUACGUUGCUGUUAGAUCAAUACAUGUUGCAGCAAUGUUUAGUCCCUUUUCAAAACUAGCCUCCAAGUGUGUGAUUAAGGAUAAGUUCUGAUCACAACAAUUUUUGUUAGGGCGUGUCUGUUCAAUAGGAAUGAUUUUGUUUAUCGGAUCUGAUAUUCAGUUAAAAAUUAGCCUUUCUAACAUAGCUAAUACUUGGGAGAAUAAUGGGUUUGUAACUAUAUAUUUGUAUAGUUUUUCAAGUUUCAGUAUUG